CGCACGGGUGAGUAACACAUGGGUCACCUACCUUUCAGUGAGGAAUACCGGCGAGAAAUCGCUGACAAGACCGCAUAGGUUUGGUUGUACCAAACAAAGCUCGGGAAACCGAGCGCCACGGGAGGGGUCUGCGCCCGAUUAGUUGGUUGGUGGGGUAACGGCUCACCAAGACGACGAUCGGUAGCUGGUCUGAGAGGAUGAUCAGCCACACUGGGAUUGAGAACGGCCCAG
RNAcentral lists this ribosomal RNA (231 nucleotides) under uncultured bacterium. Its description in RNAcentral is "partial 16S ribosomal RNA". It matches the Rfam family "Bacterial small subunit ribosomal RNA", at positions 99 to 334 of the family's 1533-position model. The record is from RNAcentral.